Molecule: ribosomal RNA, 503 nt
Filed under: uncultured bacterium
Lineage: Bacteria
Description: partial 16S ribosomal RNA
Rfam family: Bacterial small subunit ribosomal RNA
Source: RNAcentral
AUUGAACGCUGGCGGCGGGCUUAACACAUGCAAGUCGAGCGGGGUGAUGGUGCUUGCACUAUCACUUAGCGGCGGACGGGUGAGUAAUGCUUAGGAAUCUGCCUAUUAGUGGGGGACAACAUCUCGAAAGGGAUGCUAAUACCGCAUACGUCCUACGGGAGAAAGCAGGGGAUCGCUUGUGACCUUGCGCUAAUAGAUGAGCCUAAGUCGGAUUAGCUAGUUGGUGGGGUAAAGGCCUACCAAGGCGACGAUCUGUAGCGGGUCUGAGAGGAUGAUCCGCCACACUGGGACUGAAACACGGCCCAGACUCCUACGGGAGGCAGCAGUGGGGAAUAUUGGACAAUGGGGGGAACCCUGAUCCAGCCAUGCCGCGUGUGUGAAGAAGGCCUUAUGGUUGUAAAGCACUUUAAGCGAGGAGGAGGCUCUUUUGGUUAAUACCCAAGAUGAGUGGACGUUACUCGCAGAAUAAGCACCGGCUAACUCUGUGCCAGCCGCCGCGGUAA